UUUAUAUGAGAGUUUGAUCCUGGCUCAGGAUGAACGCCGGCGGUGUGCCUAAUACAUGCAAGUCGAACGCGUUGGCCCAAUUGAUUGACGGUGCUUGCACCUGAUUGAUUUUGGUUGCCAACGAGUGGCGGACGGGUGAGUAACACGUAGGUAACCUGCCCAGAAGCGGGGGACAACAUUUGGAAACAGAUGCUAAUACCGCAUAACAGCGUUGUUCGCAUGAACAACGCUUAAAAGAUGGCUUCUCGCUAUCACUUCUGGAUGGACCUGCGGUGCAUUAGCUUGUUGGUGGGGUAACGGCCUACCAAGGCGAUGAUGCAUAGCCGAGUUGAGAGACUGAUCGGCCACAAUGGGACUGAGACACGGCCCAUACUCCUACGGGAGGCAGCAGUAGGGAAUCUUCCACAAUGGGCGCAAGCCUGAUGGAGCAACACCGCGUGAGUGA
RNAcentral lists this ribosomal RNA (445 nucleotides) under Limosilactobacillus fermentum. RNAcentral's name for it is "bacterial SSU rRNA". It matches the Rfam family "Bacterial small subunit ribosomal RNA", at positions 1 to 408 of the family's 1533-position model. Lineage: Bacteria; Bacillati; Bacillota; Bacilli; Lactobacillales; Lactobacillaceae. The record is from RNAcentral.